UACGAAGGGGGCUAGCGUUGCUCGGAAUUACUGGGCGUAAAGGGCGCGUAGGCGGCCGCCUAAGUCAGACGUGAAAUCCCUCGGCUCAACCGGGGAACUGCGUCUGAUACUGGGUGGCUUGAAUCCGGGAGAGGGAUGCAGAAUUCCAGGUGUAGCGGUGAAAUGCGUAGAUAUCUGGAGGAAUACCGGUGGCGAAGGCGGCAUCCUGGACCGACAUUGACGCUGAACGGCGAAAGCUAGGGGAGCAAACGGG
Molecule: ribosomal RNA, 253 nt
Filed under: uncultured bacterium
Lineage: Bacteria
Description: partial 16S ribosomal RNA
Rfam family: Bacterial small subunit ribosomal RNA
Source: RNAcentral